Eufriesea mexicana is the source of this 659-nucleotide long non-coding RNA. RefSeq lists it as uncharacterized. The transcript is spliced from 3 exons. The record is from RefSeq and is a predicted model, not a curated record. Lineage: Eukaryota; Metazoa; Arthropoda; Insecta; Hymenoptera; Apidae.
UUAUCCUAUGUUUCUUCUUCCUGUGUUGUUUGUGUCAGUUAUCUGACCAGAGAAAAUGUGAUGAAAAAUAUAUCAUCAAACGGAAAUGAAGAGUGGCUAUGACGUAUUGUGAUAUGCAUACUGCAAUUCUUCAAAAGGCGAUCGUUAUUUAACAUUGGAAAGGUGACUAUUUACAAAUAGUGAGAAAGCGUCGAUUAAUCAAUAUACCGGAGGCCACAACUGAAAAACCGGCAGAAUAAAAUUCAUCGCUAUACGGCCGCUUUGAAGAAGCCUUUUCAUCUUCCUAAAAGUGACGGUGAAAUUCAAGGAAAUCAAUGUUAAUAUAUAAAGGAAGCCUCAUUUAAAUAGAUCCAGCUAAAUAUCUCCGAAACUAUUGUUAAUACGAAACAAUGAUUCAGAUAAUAGUUCGAUGGUCGAAAGGAACAUAAUCCGUUGCAGGUUUCCUUCAGAAAAGUAAGAGGAGUUAAACGUGACAGUGCUCCCUCCCUCUCUCUGUCUCUCUCUCUCUCUUUCUCUUUCUCUCUUUCUCUUUCAUCCGCUUGUUCCAUUGUCUCCGUUCAUCCAUCUCCCUCUUGCCUUUCCUCUUCCUGUUUCCCUCUUUGCGAUGUCACUUCGACAUUCUUUUUCAAGGGACGCUGGUUCGAUAUUAGGAAAUACCU